Non-coding RNA from Turdus rufiventris (rufous-bellied thrush), 76 nucleotides. The record is from the annotation of a GenBank genome assembly. Lineage: Eukaryota; Metazoa; Chordata; Aves; Passeriformes; Turdidae.
GCGCUCACAGGGCCUUGGGUCAGCUGGCAGCGCUCCCAGCGCUGUGCCUCGCGCUCCGGCCGCGAUGAGCUCACCA